This 497-nucleotide ribosomal RNA is filed under the name uncultured bacterium. RNAcentral describes it as "partial 16S ribosomal RNA". It matches the Rfam family "Bacterial small subunit ribosomal RNA", at positions 28 to 507 of the family's 1533-position model. The record is from RNAcentral.
GAUGAACGCUGGCGGCGUGCCUAAUACAUGCAAGUCGAGCGAACAGACGAGGAGCUUGCUCCUCUGACGUUAGCGGCGGACGGUUGAGUAACACGUGGAUAACCAACCUAUAAGACUGGUAUAACUUCGGGAAACCGGAGCUAAUACCGGAUAAUAUAUUGAACCACAUGGUUAAAUAGUGAAAGACGGCUUUGCUGUCACUUAUAGAUGGAUCCGCGCCGCAUUAGCUAGUUGGUAAGGUAACGGCUUACCAAGGCGACGAUGCGUAGCCGACCUGAGAGGGUGAUCGGCCACACUGGGACUGAGACACGGUCCAGACUCCUACGGGAGGCAGCAGUAGGGAAUCUUCCGCAAUGGGCGAAAGCCUGACGGAGCAACGCCGCGUGAGUGAUGAAGGUCUUCGGAUCGUAAAACUCUGUUAUUAGGGAAGAACGAGUGUGUAAGUAACUAUGCACGUCUUGACGGUACCUAAUCAGAAAGCCACGGCUAACUACGUG